RNAcentral lists this ribosomal RNA (610 nucleotides) under Phaeohelotium pallidum. Its description in RNAcentral is "partial large subunit ribosomal RNA". It matches the Rfam family "Eukaryotic large subunit ribosomal RNA", at positions 281 to 911 of the family's 3401-position model. Lineage: Eukaryota; Fungi; Ascomycota; Leotiomycetes; Helotiales; Helotiaceae. The record is from RNAcentral.
UGCAGCUCAAAAUGGGUGGUAAAUUUCAUCUAAAGCUAAAUAUUGGCCAGAGACCGAUAGCGCACAAGUAGAGUGAUCGAAAGAUGAAAAGCACUUUGGAAAGAGAGUUAAACAGUACGUGAAAUUGUUGAAAGGGAAGCGCUUGCAACUAGACUCGCAGGUCGUCGAUCAUCCGGGGUUCUCCCCAGUGCACUCGGCGGCCCUCGGGCCAGCAUCGGUUUAGGUGGUUAGAUAAAAGCCAUGGGAAUGUAGCUGUCUUCGGGCAGUGUUAUAGCCCUCGGUACAAUGUAGCCUACCUGGACUGAGGACCGCGCUUCGGCUAGGAUGCUGGCGUAAUGGUUGCAAGCGACCCGUCUUGAAACACGGACCAAGGAGUCUAACAUCUAUGCGAGUGUUUGGGUGCAAAACCCAUACGCGUAAUGAAAGUGAACGGAGGUGAGAACCCGUUAGGGUGCAUCAUCGACCGAUCCUGAUGUCUUCGGAUGGAUUUGAGUAAGAGCAUAGCUGUUGGGACCCGAAAGAUGGUGAACUAUGCCUAAAUAGGGUGAAGCCAGAGGAAACUCUGGUGGAGGCUCGCAGCGGUUCUGACGUGCAAAUCGAUCGUCAAAUU